AUUGAACGCUGGCGGCAUGCCUUACACAUGCAAGUCGAACGGUAACAGGUCUUCGGAUGCUGACGAGUGGCGAACGGGUGAGUAAUACAUCGGAACGUGCCCAGACGUGGGGGAUAACGAGGCGAAAGCUUUGCUAAUACCGCAUACGAUCUAAGGAUGAAAGCAGGGGGCCGCAAGGCCUUGUGCGUUUGGAGCGGCCGAUGGCAGAUUAGGUAGUUGGUGGGAUAAAAGCUUACCAAGCCGACGAUCUGUAGCUGGUCUGAGAGGACGACCAGCCACACUGGGACUGAGACACGGCCCAGGCUCCUACGGGAGGCAGCAGUGGGGAAUCUUGGACAAUGGGCGAAAGCCUGAUCCAGCAAUGCCGCGUGCAGGAUGAAGGCCUUCGGGUUGUAAACUGCUUUUGUACGGAACGAAAAGGCUCUGGCUAAUACCUGGGGCACAUGACGGUACCGUAAGAAUAAGCACCGGCUAACUACGUG
This 482-nucleotide ribosomal RNA is filed under the name uncultured bacterium. RNAcentral's name for it is "partial 16S ribosomal RNA". It matches the Rfam family "Bacterial small subunit ribosomal RNA", at positions 30 to 507 of the family's 1533-position model. The record is from RNAcentral.